UCCGUAGGUGAACCUGCGGAGGGAUUCAUUACAGAGUUGCAAAACUCCCAACCCUUUGUGAACGAACCUGACAGUUGCCUCGGCGGUAGACCCUUCUGGGGCUAGCCCUCGCGGGUAGUCCGCCGAAGUCCCAUAAACUCUUGAUUAUUUUGGUAUCUCUGAGUAGCUUAUAAAUAAGUUAAAACUUUCAGCAACGGAUCUCUUGGCUCUCCUAUCGAUGAAGAACGCAGCGAAAUGCGAUAAGUAAUGUGAAUUGCAGAAUUCAGUGAAUCAUCGAAUCUUUGAACGCACCUUGCGCCCCUUGGUAUUCCAAGGGGCAUGCCUGUUUGAGUGUCAUUAAAUUCUCAACCUCAUAAACUUUGUGUUUGUGAGGCUUGGAUGUGGGAGCUUUGCUGGCUUGUAACAGAGUCGGCUCUCCUGAAAUGCAUUAGUGGAUUUAGCGCUUUUGCAAACCACAUUGGUGUGAUAAUUAUCUACGCCUUUGACCAAGUGUUUGCAGUCUGGGAGGUUGCAGUGUAACAGCUGCUCUUUCUGUGGAUGUUGAAUCCGCUUCAAACCGUCCUAAGUUUAUUGGACAACUUUGACUUGUUUGACCUCAAAUCAGGUAGGACUACCCGCUGAACUUAAGCAUAUCAAUAAGCGGAGGA
This 647-nucleotide ribosomal RNA is filed under the name uncultured Crinipellis. Its description in RNAcentral is "eukaryotic LSU rRNA". The stretch from base 183 to 336 matches the Rfam family "5.8S ribosomal RNA". The record is from RNAcentral. Lineage: Eukaryota; Fungi; Basidiomycota; Agaricomycetes; Agaricales; Tricholomataceae.